Molecule: long non-coding RNA, 313 nt
Organism: Humulus lupulus (European hop)
Lineage: Eukaryota; Viridiplantae; Streptophyta; Magnoliopsida; Rosales; Cannabaceae
Exons: 4
Source: RefSeq, a predicted model, not a curated record
CUCGGUCUCUCGGUUUCAGUUCGUGGUCCGUUCGUAGCUUGCUCUUGCAAGUCAGCCCUCUUGCAGGUCAGCCCUCUCUUUGUACCAAGUUCUCCUUUGCUCUAUCAAUGGAGGAGCCUCUUCUAUUCUGAGAAAUACCUCAAACCCACCAGCUGUUUCACUCAUUCUCAGGUUGGGGAUCGAAUUGGCAAGGAGCAUUGCAAAGGUAAUUUGCAAGAGUUGUUAAACCCAGACAAAAAACAAGAUUUUAGUAAGAGAACAACAUCAAAUACAAAUUCAUUGGAGAUGGAUAAAAGUUGGAUCCAUCUUAACA